RNAcentral lists this long non-coding RNA (291 nucleotides) under Pan troglodytes (chimpanzee). RNAcentral's name for it is "long non-coding RNA NONPTRT010449". Lineage: Eukaryota; Metazoa; Chordata; Mammalia; Primates; Hominidae. The record is from RNAcentral.
GUGACUUGUCCAGGUCACACACUGCAUAGAAGCUCAGAGCUCUUCGCUUACGAUUUUCUCAUCUCCCUGGCUCAAGCCUAGUUGCUAGUGUGCAUUUCUGGUGCUCAAGAUGGCAAGAUUAGGCUUACACCGUGAGUGCACAGAAAGGUAACCUUGAGACUCUCCCAUGUGGAUUCACGUGUGUGAAGAGCAUGCUGCUUCCCUUCCUUGCGUGGAAAUACCAUGAUCAUUAAAAAUAUUGAAGACAUCAAACAAGCCUUUCGAACAGAGCCCGGGGAGGACAGGCUGGCA